This 546-nucleotide ribosomal RNA is filed under the name Glomus sp. C/2-2. RNAcentral describes it as "SSU rRNA". It matches the Rfam family "Eukaryotic small subunit ribosomal RNA", at positions 548 to 1098 of the family's 1831-position model. The record is from RNAcentral. Lineage: Eukaryota; Fungi; Glomeromycota; Glomeromycetes; Glomerales; Glomeraceae.
UUGGAGGGCAAGUCUGGUGCCAGCAGCCGCGGUAAUUCCAGCUCCAAUAGCGUAUAUUAAAGUUGUUGCAGUUAAAAAGCUCGUAGUUGAAUUUCGGGAUCAAUUUGUUGGUCGUGCCUCGGUACGUACUGGCAUUAUUGAUUUCUACCUUCUGAAGAACCUUGAUGUCAUUAAUUUGGUGUCUUGGGGAAUCAGGACUGUUACUUUGAAAAAAUUAGAGUGUUUAAAGCAGGCAUACGCUUGAAUACAUUAGCAUGGAAUAAUGAAAUAGGACGUUUGAUUCUAUUUUGUUGGUUUCUAGGAUCGACGUAAUGAUUAAUAGGGAUAGUUGGGGGCAUUAGUAUUCAAUUGUCAGAGGUGAAAUUCUUGGAUUUAUUGAAGACUAACUACUGCGAAAGCAUUUGCCAAGGAUGUUUUCAUUAAUCAAGAACGAAAGUUAGGGGAUCGAAGACGAUCAGAUACCGUCGUAGUCUUAACCAUAAACUAUGCCGACUAGGGAUCGGAUGAUGUUAUUUUUAAUGACUCAUUCGGCGCCUUACGGGAAAC